This 470-nucleotide ribosomal RNA is filed under the name Penicillium glabrum. RNAcentral describes it as "eukaryotic LSU rRNA". The stretch from base 119 to 272 matches the Rfam family "5.8S ribosomal RNA". Lineage: Eukaryota; Fungi; Ascomycota; Eurotiomycetes; Eurotiales; Aspergillaceae. The record is from RNAcentral.
CUUCGGUGCGCCCGCCUCACGGCCGCCGGGGGGCUUCUGCCCCCGGGUCCGCGCGCACCGGAGACACUAUUGAACUCUGUCUGAAGAUUGCAGUCUGAGCAUAAACUAAAUAAGUUAAAACUUUCAACAACGGAUCUCUUGGUUCCGGCAUCGAUGAAGAACGCAGCGAAAUGCGAUAACUAAUGUGAAUUGCAGAAUUCAGUGAAUCAUCGAGUCUUUGAACGCACAUUGCGCCCCCUGGUAUUCCGGGGGGCAUGCCUGUCCGAGCGUCAUUGCUGCCCUCAAGCACGGCUUGUGUGUUGGGCUCCGUCCCCCCGGGGACGGGUCCGAAAGGCAGCGGCGGCACCGAGUCCGGUCCUCGAGCGUAUGGGGCUUUGUCACCCGCUCUGUAAGCCCGGCCGGCGCCAGCCGACAACCAAUCAUCCUUUUUUCAGGAUGACCUCGGAUCAGGUAGGGAUACCCGCUGAACU